Peromyscus californicus insignis is the source of this 7168-nucleotide long non-coding RNA. RefSeq lists it as uncharacterized. The transcript has 2 exons. Lineage: Eukaryota; Metazoa; Chordata; Mammalia; Rodentia; Cricetidae. The record is from RefSeq and is a predicted model, not a curated record.
GCUUCUUCUGUAUGCAUCCUGGGAAUCGUAGUCCUCUGUAACCAACUUGUGAGAAGAGCGCUUGGAGUGCACUACAAGUCCCAGGAUUCAAUGCGACCACAGGGCCACAGAUGCCGGUGCCACCAGAACCUGCAUUUCUCCUACAGGAGCUGGCAGCUCACCCAGACUAGCACAGGUGUUCUGUAGUGACCCAGUGCGCGUCAGUGCCGAGAGCAGAGAAAAUGGAGUGGAGAAAAUUCGCGAGCUUUCCUCAAGACUUUCUCUUGCGUCAGUCCCUGAGGAUUGCUGAAGCCCACGUCUGCCCCAUAUUGCAGCACUUGACUUAGGCUGUUUCCUACUUCAAUUUUCCCUGUUAUUCCAAAGGAUUCUAAUUUAUUUAAGUGCAGUGUUGCGGAGUUUAAGAAAAAUGCAAGGCAUAUGGUCAGUCUGUCAUGAGUAGGGGAAUAAGUGCCUUCCUAUGACCUGCCUUGUGCCCAUGCAUUGAACAACUAGUUUUGGCCUUCAGACACAGAAGCCAGUGGGGUAAACUAAUCCGUUAGUUCUGAUUUUCUGGUUAUAGCAAUAACCAACAUUUGGGAAAAGAUUUUUAAAUCUACUUGACUAAGAGACUACCAAAGGUUGAUAGUUUUGAUUCUUUUAUAGAUAUGUUUCUUUAUCUAUGUGGAGCUAUAACAGAAUGUUCUGCCCUGGUAGGAAAGGUGAUGCUGUAGAUUAGAGGUGCCAACGAUUGAAUGAGCAGUUACCUGUAAUGAUAAAGAGAAUGUGAAUUCACUUCAUAUUUUCUAAGAAAACAGAAUCUACAAAUAGAGUUGUUUGUUGUUGUUUUGGAGUAAGGACACUACUAAAAAUUAAAACAUGGCUUAAAAGGGGUUUGAAAUUGUCUUAGUCUGCUUGCUUUCUAUUCCUGUAAUCAUUCAUGAAAAGCAUUUGUUUGUUUGGUUGGUUGGUUCAUGAUUCUAGUGGUGGGGAAGAGCAAUAACAUGGAACUCAAUAUCUGAUGAUGAAACUUAUUUAUAUCCUGUCCUGGCAGAUGGCAUCACAUGGCAAGAUAGAGUAAGAAUGCUAACUCUUGUCUCUUUUGAUAAAGCCACUAAUUUCAUGGUGAACCAACCUCAUUAAUUUAUCUAAUGCUAACUAGCUCCCAGAAGCCUUACCUCCAAAUACCAUUAACAUAUGAACAGAGGACUGAAUUUUUAAUUCAUGAACUUUGUGGGAUAUGGUCAAACCAUAAGAGAGAAGUCAACAAACUUUGAGAUCAUGAAUAACAUCUUGCCAUUGAAUGAAUUUCAUAGAGAAAUAAAUUAUAUAUAAGAAGAAGAAAACAUCUUCCAGACAUAAUAAAGAAAAGCUUCAACUCUGAUGGAUCCCCACUGCUCUGGAGAUGUCCCCAGCAGCCAGCCAACAGCCCCUCGCUCGGACAUGGUGAACGGGUGGUGGUAGCGCAGGCGUUAUCCCUACAAAUGGAGGUUCCUACCGAGAUCCGAGAAAGAAGGGACAAGCUGAUGGACACCCGAAAGGUAAGGCUGGCCAGCAUUUUAAAGAAAAAAGGUAUGGGUGAAUUGUAUUGAAAUGGGUGCAGCUAGCUCACAGUCAGUUGAUUGGACUGUUGAAGCAGGAAGGCACGGAAGUUAAGAAAGGGCAAGACAGCUAAAGAGUUUAAAUAAAGAAGGAAAUCUUCCCAAAAGAGAAGAGGGAAGGAAAGGAAAUUUCCCGUUAGAAAAGGGAGAAAAAAUUUUAAUCAAGAAAAAAGGAUUUUCCUGGUAAAAAGGGGAAAAAUUUUUGAAACUAGGCCUAAAGAUUGGGGCCCUGUAGAGGAAGGAUAAAGGAAAGAAAGAAGCCUCUUCCCAGUGGUAAUGGAGAAAGAAAAGACUUUUUCCAAUUGUAGAAUUUUCAGGAUAGCUGAAACUCUGAGCUCUUUCUGCAGUGCAGCAUCUGAAUUACAAAGAAUCGGCAGGUAGGCCUCAUUGCUGCUGGCUGAACAGCAAGCGAGCCCAGAGGUUAGAAGUUUGGCUGUCUGUUUGCUUAUUUUGGUUCAAAUGUUUUUUAAUUUUCCCUCAGAAUGGGAAUAAUUCAAUAUUUAGGAUCCCUUCGUGGGAAAUGUUUUUCUGUUUUUCCCUUAUGGUGGGAAUAACUCAUUAGGUAGUCCCUUCAUGGGAGUAGGAAGUUUAAACAUGAGUUUGUGUGUGCGGGGUGCGCACCCAGUGGCGGACAAAGGCAUGCAAAAGAUAGCGCUGGUGGGAGUUGGAGCUGCGAUGGAGCGCGGCCCGGCCGGGCACCAGCACUAGAGCCCAGGCACCAGCACUAGAGCCUGAGCACUGGGCAAAGCCAAAGCUAAGCUGCAAGCUCAGCUCCCACCAAGUGAGCAGAGGCCCAGGAAGGGACUAGCCCUAAAACUUUAAAUGGGCCUAACUUCUGGCGAAAAAAUGGUUUCAGUCAAGACAUAGAAUGCUAAGUCAAUGCUGUUUGAAUAAAAGAUGUUUUGUUCUUUUGAUUGUCUUAAUAAAUGUUUGGAUGAAUGUUUGAUUCUCAUGGUAGAUAAACUAAAGGAAUAAGAUUCAUAAUUUUGAACUAUAUAUUAGGUGUCCUCUUGUCUGUUGAUCAUUACUGAAAAUUUGGUUCUGCAAUUUAAGUUGCUUUCUAGAAAUUCUUGGUUUAAUUCUCUAGAAAUAUAAUACCUGAAAUGGAUUGGGUUGUUAGCUUAUUAAAUAAUGUUGUUGCUAAGAUGAACCCAUAAAAAAUAAUCGCUUACUGAUAAAGAGGUCACAAAAUUAUUUUUCUAGUAAAUAAAAUACAGGUAAAUUGUUUGGUCCACAUUGUUAAUAAUUGGAUAUUUGCAUUAAUGUGUUACUUGGAAUUUAUAAAAAAAAGAUCCUCUUUUUAAGAUUUUAUAAAAAUUGUAUUUAAUGCUUUUAUAAUUAGCAUAUGUAAAAAGGACCAUAGAAAUAAAAGCUGGUGAUAGAAUUGCUCAAUUAUUAUUGCUUUCAUAUUUUAAAGGCAAAAUGGCGCCUAUAUGUAGAACUGGAGGUUUUGAAAGUAUAGGAAAAAAGAUGUUUUGACAAACAGUUAUCAAUGAUAAGCAGCCUAAAAUUAAAAACAAAAUUAUAUGGGAUUGAGAUUGAAAGAUAAUUGGAUUCUGGUGCUGGAUAUAUCUAUAAUUUCACAAGAAUCCUGAGAUCCCAAUUGGCCCCUUAAGAAUUCCAUCUCUAACCUACAAGGUAUCGGCACAGCUCAGACGCCAUUACAGAGCAGGCUACUUUUAAAUUGGAAGGAUGAGGAAGGUCAUGCAGGAACUUUUCAACCCUUUGUGCUACCUGACAUUCCAGUGAACUUGUGGGGACGAGAUGUGUUAGAUGGUAUGGGAGCAGUGCUUACUACACAGCCUGUACAACAGAUACUAAAAAGUCAGGGCUACUGCCCAGACAGAGGCUUAGGAAAAAUGUUACAAGGAGACCCACUCCCUGUGGCAGACAAAAACUGUGUCACUAGAGGUCCUGGGGGGAUACAAGAGGAUUAGGGUCUUUUCCAUAGGGGUCACUGCGCAGCAGCCUUCGAUUAUACAACCAAUAAAAAUCACUUGGAAAAGUGAUGACCCUGUAUGGGUGGAGCAGUGGCCUGACUAAAGAAAAAUUGGAGGCUGCGAACACAUUAGUUAAGGAACAGUUAGAUGCUGGACAUAUCAUUCCUUCCACUUCACCUCGGAACUCACCUAUAUUUGUUAUUAAAAAGAAGUCAGGAAAAUGGAGGCUAUUACAGGAUCUUAGAGCUGUAAAUAAAACCAUGCUUCUUAUGGGAGCAACACAGCCUGGCUUGCCUGCCCCUGUGGCAAUUCCUAAACAUUGACAUUUAAUUGUGGUUGACUUCAGGGAUUGUUUCUAAAAUGUUUUGGCAAACAGGUCCUAUUCUAUGGGUACAUUCCCCAGCUUCUCCAGCAAAAACCAUUACUCCUUAUCCACAGGCUGUUGCUCAGAUUAUAUUUAAGGGAAUCAAGAUCAGUGUUCAAACUUUUGGUAAGGAGCCAGAUAUUGUGGUGACCCCAUACACCCAGUCUCAAAUAGCAUGGUUGCAAGCUAAUGAUAAUGAUUGGACCAUAUUGACAUGCUCCAUGCAGGGUAGGUUUGAUACUCACUACCCCUCUAAUGAUGUGUGUAAAUUUUUUAAAUUGCAUCCUGUUAUAUUUCCCAAGAUAGUACAGGUGACUCCUAUUCCUCAGGCCUGUGUAGUAUUUACUGAUGGCACUUCAUGUGGUUUUGCUGUGGUAGUUUCUGGUAACAUAGUAAAGAGAAUAAAAGUUCAGGGCACUUCUGCCCAGAUGACAGAGGUACAGGCGCUGUUGCUUGCUUUACAGAUGUUUUCUGAUGAGAGUGUAAAUAUUUGUACUGAUAGUCAAUAUGUGGCACAUGCCAUUAUGCCUUUAGAGACAACAGCCUACAUACCAUCCAUUUCUCCCACUCAUGAAUAUUUAUUGCAAGUGCAAGGACUUAUAUGGCCCCGCUCACAUAACCUUUAUGUGGGCCAUAUUAGAGCUCACACCCAAUUGCCUGGACCUCUAAGUGAAGGUAAUUAGAGGGCUGAUGCCAUUACUCGUAUGGCUGUCACAUUAGUUUAUUCUGCCUUUGAAAAGGCUACUCAGUUGCAUCAACAUUACCAUCUUAAUGCUGGAUCUCUUCGUCAUCAUACAGUCAUAACCCGGGAACAAGCCUUCCAGAUAGUUAAAUCAUGUCCUAUUUGUGCUGAAUUUUUACCUGUUCCUCAUUUGGGAGUUAAUCCCCGAGGACUUUUACCUAAUCAUGUGUGGCAGAUGGAUGUCACACACACACACACACACACACACACACACACACACACACACACGUGUGCCUUCCUUUGGAAAACUACAAUAUGUCCAUGUGUCUAUUGAUACAUAUUCUUCUCUAAUUUUUGCUUCUGCUCAUUCAGGGGAAAAGGUUAAGGAUGUUAAGAAUCAUUGUCUUCAUGCUUUUGCUUACAUGGGAGUGCCAAAAUGCAUAAAGACUGAUAAUGGUCCCGCCUACAGCAGUACGGGAUUUUCAAAAUUCUGCCAAGACUUUUCUAUUGUUAAUAAGACUGGUAUUCCUUAUAACCCUCAAGGACAGGCUAUAGUUGAACACUUCCAUCAUACCUUAAAAACAUAUAUUUCUAAAGUAAAAAAGGGGGAGCUAGGGGCUCAUCUAUCUCUCCUCUCCAUAUUCUAUUCUUUCCCUUGUUUUAUAUAUUUUAAAUUUUUUAUCGGUGGAUUCUGCUGGAGUAUCCGCUGCAGAUAAGCACUGGAGGGCUCCUGUUGCAAAUCAUCCUCUGGUGUGAUGGAAGGAUCUUUCUACUGGCACUUGGAGGGGACCCGAUCCGGUGUUGGUGUGGGCCCGGGGAUCUGUUUGUGUCUUUCCACAGGACAAUGAAGUUCCUCUUUGGGUUCCUGAGUGCUGUGUGCGCCCUGUGGCUGCUGCUGAAUCCCGACAAGGCAGAGACCUAUUGGGCCUUUGUAAAAAACCCUCCCCUUCUGAUGCCAAUGGGAAUUGAGAGCCCAAUACUGCCAGCCUUGACAAGCAUUAACAUAAGCCUAGGAACUGUAACCAUAUGGUUGGAUUCUUCAGAAGGUAAUGUAUGGUAACUUUUUUCAAAAAUGUUGAGAAUAUGUCACACCUUGGAGAUUAAGGAUAACCCUGAAGUUCAAUGACCUUCAUUUGUUAACAGUAACAUGCCAGCUAAGUCUUUUCACAUUUUGCAACCCUCUUCAAGCUGGUGUAGAACCUACUUUUCAGAAAUGGCUCUGUGCAACAUUUAUUGGCCUCCUGAAAUUCAUCUAGCCUUUUUGAAGAUACCUUAAAAUUUGUGAGCCUGAAUGUAGCCAUUAAUGAGACCAUUAGUUCUGCUCCUUGUUUGCUGUUUUUGUUUUUGUUUUCUUUAUGGUUCUUAGUUGUUCUUUUGCAGACCUGCCAGCCUAAGUAGUGCUGGGAUCAAGAAAAAUGGGCCUUGGUGGUUCGUGUUCCUGGAGCUGCGUCCAUGCCUGUGGACCAUGGCAGUUAGACACAGAUGAUGCUCACACGCUCCAGAAGAGACUGACAUCGUUGUUGCCGCUGUUGCUGUUAUAGCAGUGGUGGCCACUGCUACUACUAUUUCUGGGAUGGCUAUUUCAUAAUUGGGUUCUACAGCUAGCACAAUGGAGACCCUAGCAGCAAAAGUAGCUACCACAGUUAGUUAAUCUUUUAUUGUAUAGGGCAUGAUAAAUUUAAUUCUACAUUUAUACAUUUAAAUUGGCUUUGAAAGUUGUAAAAAUUAUUAAAACUCAAGUUCCAUUUGCUUAUGGGAUACCACCUUACAAGGACUCCAAUUUGCAGUAAGGCUCGUUUAAGAAGGGAAUGGCUCGCCGGGCGGUGGUGGCACACGCCUUUAAUCCCAGCACUCGGGAGGCAGAGACCGGCGGAUCUCUGUGAGUUCGAGGCCAGCCUGGGCUACCAAGUGAGUUCCAGGAAAGGCGCAAAGCUACACAGAGAAACCCUGUCUCGAAAAAUCAAAAAACAAAAAACAAAAAACAACAACAACAAAAAAAAGAAGGGAAUGGCUCAAUUGCCUUUAGCCUCCUGGCUAUGGGUGGGUUAGGACUUCUGUUGGUCUUUUCUGUGUCGCACAGAUUGCAAGCCCAGCGCCACUUUGAGAUCUUUGGCAGCAGUCACUCUACAGCUCACGUGGUUGAGUCUGUAUGAUAAUGAGUAUUCAGAGACGGGUAAUGCUUGGGGGGGCGGUCAUCAACCUAAGACAGAGCACUUGUGUGGCGUGGGCAGGUGUCUCCAUGCCGGGUAAGAUGACCUGCUGACGUGCCACGCAUCCUAAGUCAGAAGCUCAUUUUUUAGUAAAAAGGGGGGACCUGUGGGCCCUGGUCUCCUCCCAUAUUGAGUAAAGCCGUUGCCUGCUUGCCGACCUUGACCAGGUGUCCUCCCUAUGCUAAUUCCCUGCUGGUAUCCACCCUCCUGAAUGCUUUAGGGAAGUUCUUUGUUCCUGUAUCCUGCAUUUGGUGUAAACAGCUUAGAUGCAAAAAUGUAGCAAACUUCUACCCUCCGGGGAUCCGCCAUUGUGCUGUAAGCCUGUAUUUAAGGUUUCCUCCCUCUUUCAAUAAACAGCAUUCGACUGGCAUUUGGCAUUCAGCCGUGGCGAAUGA